RNAcentral lists this unclassified non-coding RNA (231 nucleotides) under Hevea brasiliensis (rubber tree). Lineage: Eukaryota; Viridiplantae; Streptophyta; Magnoliopsida; Malpighiales; Euphorbiaceae. The record is from RNAcentral.
GGACUACACCUCCAGAGCUGAAGCAUAAAAUAAGUCAUAUUCAACAUGCUUUUAAUCACAGGUAUUUCACAUAACAUGGGGAACCGUUUGAGCAAAUGAAAUAUGAUAUAAUUUCAAGCCUUAUCCUCAGCAGCUAGCUAUUCUACAAUUAACCAUUACCAUAUGAACUAUGAUAGUGGAUGACUUUGGAAAAUCCUGUAAGCAUUACCAUGUUGCCCACCAGAAAUCUAU